GUGGGGAAUAUUGCACAAUGGGCGAAAGCCUGAUGCAGCAACGCCGCGUGAGUGAUGAAGGUCUUCGGAUUGUAAAGCUCUGUCUUUUGGGACGAUAAUGACGGUACCAAAGGAGGAAGCCACGGCUAACUACGUGCCAGCAGCCGCGGUAAUACGUAGGUGGCGAGCGUUGUCCGGAUUUACUGGGCGUAAAGGGUGCGUAGGCGGAUGUUUAAGUGAGAUGUGAAAUACCCGGGCUUAACUUGGGUGCUGCAUUUCAAACUGGAUAUCUAGAGUGCAGGAGAGGAGAAUGGAAUUCCUAGUGUAGCGGUGAAAUGCGUAGAGAUUAGGAAGAACACCAGUGGCGAAGGCGAUUCUCUGGACUGUAACUGACGCUGAGGCACGAAAGCGUGGGUAGCAAACAGGAUUAGAUACCCUGGUAGUCCACGCCGUAAACGAUGAGUACUAGGUGUAGGAGGUAUCGACCCCUUCUGUGCCGCAGUAAACACAUUAAGUACUCCGCCUGGGAAGUACGAUCGCAAGAUUAAAACUCUAAAGUGAAUUGAC
This 546-nucleotide ribosomal RNA is filed under the name uncultured bacterium. Its description in RNAcentral is "partial 16S ribosomal RNA". It matches the Rfam family "Bacterial small subunit ribosomal RNA", at positions 354 to 914 of the family's 1533-position model. The record is from RNAcentral.